Long non-coding RNA from Exaiptasia diaphana, 327 nucleotides. RefSeq lists it as uncharacterized. The transcript is spliced from 2 exons. The record is from RefSeq and is a predicted model, not a curated record. Lineage: Eukaryota; Metazoa; Cnidaria; Anthozoa; Actiniaria; Aiptasiidae.
CACAUGAGAGUCUUGGUAGACUGUGAGCUUSAGUUGGCGCCUCUGGCUGCCGCUGCACAGUCCGUCCCAAUAUCUCAAACUAAAAAAGUACAACAAUCAGAUUACAUCACAAUAAACAAGUCAAAUGUUUUUGCAUGAUGGCCGGUGGCUCAAAUGAGCUCAUUCGCCCUUUGACAGGUUUUGUUUUUAGUCCUGCUGGGUGUCAUGUCACCCUCCUCACCAGUAUAGACUGGUGGGGGUGCCGGUUUAGAUGCCGACGACCCGUCCAUGAGGCAGGUUGUACUGGGUUACAAUGUUACCAGUAGCAGACUACAUGUCUGACCUGAC